This 764-nucleotide ribosomal RNA is filed under the name uncultured bacterium. RNAcentral describes it as "bacterial SSU rRNA". It matches the Rfam family "Bacterial small subunit ribosomal RNA", at positions 88 to 851 of the family's 1533-position model. The record is from RNAcentral.
GUGGCGACCGGCGCACGGGUGAGUAACGCGUAUGCAACUUACCUAUCAGAGGGGGAUAGCCCGGCGAAAGUCGGAUUAAUACCCCAUGAAACAGGGGUCCCGCAUGGGAAUAUUUGUUAAAGAUUCAUCGCUGAUAGAUAGGCAUGCGUUCCAUUAGGCAGUUGGCGGGGUAACGGCCCACCAAACCGACGAUGGAUAGGGGUUCUGAGAGGAAGGUCCCCCACAUUGGUACUGAGACACGGACCAAACUCCUACGGGAGGCAGCAGUGAGGAAUAUUGGUCAAUGGCCGAGAGGCUGAACCAGCCAAGUCGCGUGAAGGAAGAAGGAUCUAUGGUUUGUAAACUUCUUUUAUAGGGGAAUAAAGUGGAGGACGUGUCCUUUUUUGUAUGUACCCUAUGAAUAAGCAUCGGCUAACUCCGUGCCAGCAGCCGCGGUAAUACGGAGGAUGCGAGCGUUAUCCGGAUUUAUUGGGUUUAAAGGGUGCGUAGGUGGUGAUUUAAGUCAGCGGUGAAAGUUUGUGGCUCAACCAUAAAAUUGCCGUUGAAACUGGGUUACUUGAGUGUGUUUGAGGUAGGCGGAAUGCGUGGUGUAGCGGUGAAAUGCAUAGAUAUCACGCAGAACUCCGAUUGCGAAGGCAGCUUACUAAACCAUAACUGACACUGAAGCACGAAAGCGUGGGGAUCAAACAGGAUUAGAUACCCUGGUAGUCCACGCAGUAAACGAUGAUUACUAGGGAGUUUGCGAUACAAUGUAAGCUCUACAG